GUGGAAUCUCUCAUCUUCUUAUUUUGAACUCUCUCACUGAAUUUUGGUUGGUGCCACUCUUUCUCACGUAUGGUGGAAUGUUUCAUCUUUUCCUUUUGAUUUCACUCACUCAAUUUUGGUUGGUGGCACUCUUGCUAAAUUUUUCAUUUGGGGGACACAUAGUAAUCUUCAUCAUCAAUGAGCACACGGGGGCGAAUGCUAUGCCCAUGAACACCUCCUCCAUGUUGUCCACUGUGGCCAAAGAGACCACGGCGAGAGUUGGUUGAGCUAUGUUGUUUAGCCUGAUCGCGCACCAUAGGAAGACGUUCAUCAAACAUCUUCUCCAUGGCCUCCACUAGUGAGUUUUGUAGUUGACGUAACUCAGCACGCGAAACUGAUGUUUCUUUUUCUCUAUAUCGACCACCAUGAACGCUCGAAUUGGAUCCUGGCAUGUUAGCACUUAUGCAACAUAUAGUGAAAUGAGUAAAAUUUGUGGAAUCCUACAAUCUCACCUCUUACUUACCAAUGCUCUUUCCUGUUCUUAAGGACAGUGAAUUGUGCUAGUGUAGCAGCUCAACAGAAGUGAUUCCGAGGUCGCAAGGAUUACAAGUCAAAUGUCCCGGGGUUUUUGGUGGAGCUAUAGGUGGCUAAACAAGGGAGGCUACGGUACUGAAAAUCAAGUGAUUUGAUGUGCUCAAAAGAUAUAACUUUGUUGGUAUAUAAAUCCCCAAGAAUCUGAAUCUGUAAACAGAAUUUUUCAGUAAGCAAACCACAAUACAACCCCUUUCCUCUUAUUCUACUUUUCUGUUCUUUCUCUUUUCUUUUCUUUGAAUUUUUUGAACUCUUUUUUUUAUACUAACAAGGGUGCGGAUAACAAAUGAAACAUAACACAAUAUAUGUAAAGAGGGUGACUAGCAACUUGAUGAACAUAAAAACACAAGAUAACAGUACCGUCAAAGGGCUAUAAGAUUGUUUGUGGCUUUUUCAGUGGACUAUAGAUGAUGAACAAAACAAUAGCAAACGAUAGAUAAACUAAAGGCAGAUAUGUGGAUGAUUGUGAGACCUACCGUGACAAUGAAAGCUUUGAUACCAGUUGAUAGGAUACUGAAAUAAAUCGACACGAGGGUGGCCUGAUCUUCACGAUAGUAGAUCAAAAGAACAAGGAUAACUUACUG
RNAcentral lists this long non-coding RNA (1154 nucleotides) under Sorghum bicolor (sorghum). Its description in RNAcentral is "long non-coding RNA (SBIC_LNC016314)". The record is from RNAcentral. Lineage: Eukaryota; Viridiplantae; Streptophyta; Magnoliopsida; Poales; Poaceae.